AGGUGGGAUAGCAGAAAUAGGACAAUAAAAAGAGGGGUAGUUCACGGAUACCCACAAUAGGACCGGAAGUCGGGGAGUCGUUCACGGAUACCUACAAUAGGACCGGAAGUCGGGGUUCUUAUAUAGUCUGGGUUACAGGAAAGUCUACUCAAUAUAUUUCACUGGAUCAUAAUCUUGAUCUGAAGCGGAAGAAACAAGUGAACUAGAUCAAGGCAAGAAAGAUCUUCAUCAGAAGCAAGCUAUUCAAUCUCAUUAUGUGCUAACGGGUGCGCGAGCAGGAGCAGUGUUAGGCCGGACGAAACAAAAAGAUAAGGGAGUCGAGGUCACAUUCCAAUCUUAUAUGCGAUGCAAGAGGUUGGGGUUCAAUUAAUCUGUUCUAUGCGCAAGACAAGAGAGAGAGUCCCAUUUCCAUUCAACAAGGCGAUCGAUAGAUUCCGCUUUCGUCUGCAAGCAUGGGUUCAGGUUAUUGAUUGACGGGCCCACAGCCCCCUCGGUUGACCCAGCACAGUCGGACGAGACAGAAGCAGGUAACGGUUGAAGCUCGCCCAUACCCUGCGACCCCCCGGUCUCCCACGCAACAUCCUCGGCCAUGUCGGACGCCAUCAGAGAUACGAACCUGACCGAUGUGAUGGCGCGCUCGGUAAUGCCAAGUUCCCCU
Molecule: long non-coding RNA, 658 nt
Filed under: Musa acuminata (dwarf banana)
Lineage: Eukaryota; Viridiplantae; Streptophyta; Magnoliopsida; Zingiberales; Musaceae
Description: long non-coding RNA (MACU_LNC003928)
Source: RNAcentral